RNAcentral lists this ribosomal RNA (358 nucleotides) under uncultured bacterium. RNAcentral's name for it is "bacterial SSU rRNA". It matches the Rfam family "Bacterial small subunit ribosomal RNA", at positions 29 to 416 of the family's 1533-position model. The record is from RNAcentral.
AACGAACGCUGGCGGCAGGCCUAACACAUGCAAGUCGAACGCUCCGCAAGGGGAGUGGCGCACGGGUGAGUAACACGUGGGAACCUACCUUCUGGUACGGAACAACCAGGGGAAACUUUGGCUAAGACCGUAUACGACCUCCGGGUGAAAGAUUGAUCGCCGGAAGAGGGGCCCGCGUCCGAUUAGGUAGUUGGUGAGGUAACGGCUCACCAAGCCUUCGAUCGGUAGCUGGUCUGAGAGGAUGACCAGCCACACUGGGACUGAGACACGGCCCAGACUCCUACGGGAGGCAGCAGUGGGGAAUAUUGGACAAUGGGCGCAAGCCUGAUCCAGCCAUGCCGCGUGAGUGAUGAAGGCC